Molecule: ribosomal RNA, 254 nt
Filed under: uncultured bacterium
Lineage: Bacteria
Description: partial 16S ribosomal RNA
Rfam family: Bacterial small subunit ribosomal RNA
Source: RNAcentral
UACAUGUGGGGCAAGCGUUGUUCGGAAUUACUGGGCAUAAAGGGUGCGUAGGUGGCUUGUUAAGUCAGGGGUGAAAGUUUUCGGCCCAACCGGAAAAUGGCCUUUGAUACUGGCGAGCUCGAGUGCGUGAGGGGUAACCGGAACGAGCAGUGUAGCGGUGAAAUGCGUAGAUAUUGCUCGGAAGGCCAACGGCGAAGGCAGGUUACUGGUGCGCAACUGACACUGAGGCACGAAAGCGUGGGGGAGCAAACAGG